Small nuclear RNA from Phyllostomus discolor (pale spear-nosed bat), 139 nucleotides. RefSeq annotates it as U4 spliceosomal RNA. The transcript has a single exon. NCBI's taxonomy places the organism in Eukaryota, Metazoa, Chordata, Mammalia, Chiroptera, Phyllostomidae. The record is from RefSeq and is a predicted model, not a curated record.
AUCUUUACCCAGUGGCAAUAUCGUAGCCAGUGAGGUUUAUCCAAGGCGUGAUUAUUGCUAAUGAAAAUAACAGAAUCUCUCUGGCCAAGAUGGAGGUAUAGGCAGAUACACUUUGCUUCCUUGCACAACCAAAAGAAGG